The sequence is a ribosomal RNA, 459 nucleotides long. It matches the Rfam family "Bacterial large subunit ribosomal RNA", at positions 1 to 420 of the family's 2925-position model.
AAUCAAGUGCCUUAAGGGUGUUCGGUGGAUGCCUUGGCGCUGAGAGGCGAUGAAGGACGUGCUACGCUGCGAUAAGCCGUGGGGAGCUGCGAAGAAGCUUUGAUCCGCGGAUUUCCGAAUGGGGAAACCCACCUUCGAUAGCCGGAACUCCAAGACCUUGGUUUUGGGGUUCGAUUGGGAGACCGAGAGAAUUCAAGGCCGUGAGGUUUUGGAUUUCCGGUUAUCAAGAGAAGGUAUGAGAUCUCUGAAUACAUAGGAGGUUUCAAGCAAACCCAGGGAACUGAAACAUCUAAGUACCUGGAGGAAAGGACAUCAACCGAGACUCCGCUAGUAGUGGCGAGCGAACGCGGACCAGGCCAGUCAUGAAUGUAAGCCAACCAGAACCUGUCAGGAAAGCAGGGCCUCAGAGGGUGAUAGCCCCGUAUGGGUAAUGCGAACAUUCAUGCUCGAGUACGGCGG